GGAGCAGGGACAGGUUGAGAGAGUCCUAUUUUCAUUUUCAUUAUACAUAUCUUGGCUUAGAAUUGACACUAUAAUCAAUCAUAUAUAUAUAUAUAUACACACACACACACACAAAUCUGGAAGGGUGAGUCUGACCAACUCUGUAAAAAGUAAGGUAGUCUGGUGAGUUAGGUGUAGUGACAAUGUCUAAGAAGGAUGAGUCAAAGAACUACUGCAGAACAUUUCAUAUGACAGUGCAGAGUCUGCGCUUGCACGCUACAUAUGAUUUUGAAAGGCUUUCUCAUAGAUGGUGGUUGACAGUUGAAGAUGCCAAGCAGCAAAGGGAGACUAGGUGCAUGGAAAUGAGUUCCUGACGGAGAAAAAUGAGUUCCUUCUUCAGCACCACACAGGUGGAUAGUACCAUAGGCUCCACCUCAUACCUGGGAAAUGCAGGAUACAAUUGAUGCCUCCCAUUGGGACAGAUGCGGUUGUUUGCAACUUUGUACUUACACAGCUAAAGGGCAAAAUGAUCUGGUCUGGGCAGUAACGAGGAUGUGAAAGAAACGACUUAAGAAGGAGAAUGAAUACCUGCAUACGAUGUUAACAGUUUUUAUGUGAUGCUGCAUUAUCUCUAAGCAAGUGCUGAACAAUAGCCAAUAAAAAGGAGGACGUUAACUUCUAA
Mus musculus (house mouse) is the source of this 661-nucleotide long non-coding RNA. RefSeq annotates it as predicted gene, 53668. Lineage: Eukaryota; Metazoa; Chordata; Mammalia; Rodentia; Muridae. The transcript has 2 exons. The record is from RefSeq and is a predicted model, not a curated record.